CCAAUAGCGUAUAUUAAAGUUGUUGCAGUUAAAAAGCUCGUAGUUGAAUUUCGGGAUCAGUACGCUGGUCGUGCCUUGUGUAUGUACUGGUGUUACUGGUUCCUACCUUCUGACGAACCGUCAUGUCAUUAAUUUGGUGUGGCGGGGAAUCAGGACUGUUACUUUGAAAAAAUUAGAGUGUUUAAAGCAGGCUCGCGCUUGAAUACAUUAGCAUGGAAUAAUGAAAUAGGACGUUCGAUCCUAUUUUGUUGGUUUCUAGGAUUGACGUAAUGAUUAAUAGGGAUAGUUGGGGGCAUUAGUAUUCAAUUGUCAGAGGUGAAAUUCUUGGAUUUAUUGAAGACUAACUACUGCGAAAGCAUUUGCCAAGGAUGUUUUCAUUAAUCAAGAACGAAAGUUAGGGGAUCGAAGACGAUCAGAUACCGUCGUAGUCUUAACCAUAAACUAUGCCGACUAGGGAUCGGAUGAUGUUAUUUUUAAUGACUCAUUCGGCGCCUUACG
This 498-nucleotide ribosomal RNA is filed under the name uncultured Glomeromycotina. RNAcentral's name for it is "partial small subunit ribosomal RNA". It matches the Rfam family "Eukaryotic small subunit ribosomal RNA", at positions 591 to 1092 of the family's 1831-position model. The record is from RNAcentral. Lineage: Eukaryota; Fungi; Glomeromycota.